GCUGGUGUUGCUCAAUGGUUAGAGUGUUGGCCUUCACACCGAAGGGUCCCAGGUUCGAUUCCUGGUCCCAGUU
This is a non-coding RNA of Myotis lucifugus (little brown bat), 73 nucleotides long. Lineage: Eukaryota; Metazoa; Chordata; Mammalia; Chiroptera; Vespertilionidae. The record is from Rfam.